RNAcentral lists this transfer RNA (77 nucleotides) under Chloroflexota bacterium. RNAcentral describes it as "Chloroflexi bacterium (sediment metagenome) tRNA-Ala". It matches the Rfam family "tRNA". Rfam says of the family: Transfer RNA (tRNA) molecules are approximately 80 nucleotides in length. Their secondary structure includes four short double-helical elements and three loops (D, anti-codon, and T loops). The record is from RNAcentral. Lineage: Bacteria; Bacillati; Chloroflexota.
GGGCCCAUAGCUCAGCUUGGGAGAGCGCCACAAUGGCAUUGUGGAGGUCAAGGGUUCGAGCCCCUUUGGGUCCACCU